UCCCUGGUGGUCCAGUGGUUAGGACUUGGCACUUAAACUGCUAGGACCAGGUUCAAUCCCUGAUCAGGGAA
Dama dama (fallow deer) is the source of this 71-nucleotide non-coding RNA. Lineage: Eukaryota; Metazoa; Chordata; Mammalia; Artiodactyla; Cervidae. The record is from the annotation of a RefSeq genome assembly.